AUAUAAUCAAGCAUUUGUUUCUGUGUUUGCAUGUGUCUAUCCAUCUUUUUACUUUGUGGUUAGUUCUAGACUCACUAUUCUGUAACAUUAGAUGAAUCUGCGUGUAUGCUGCUUUUGUUUUUUUAUUAGCAGAUUAAAUUUUAUUUCACAGUGUUUUGAAUUUGGUAGAAGCAAGAGAACAACUGGAUCAAAAAAUUACCAGUUUUCAAGGACAGAUUUGAUUUUGUUUGGAAAACCACAAGAUAUACAAGUUGGCUGAUGGCCACACAACAGCUUGCGACAUUGAGUCUUUGUUGUUCAUUUUGAAAAAGAAAAAGAAAAAGCUAAUUUCAAACCCUCAUGAACUUGGCUUGGACUCCCUAUUUUAUUUUUCUCUUUAUGCAGGUAAUUAAUCAUUUUAAAAUGAAAAUCCAGAGCCUUCUGUAUCUAUAUGUUACAGAUGAACAGCUAUUCUUCAUUUAAAGUGUGACUGUUUGUCCACAAGAGGAUUGGAAACUGUAUUAAAAUGUAUAGGAUUGUUACUUUGCAUUUCGUAUCAAGACAAAAUAUGACAAUUUAUUACAGAAAGUGGAAUAUUUAGCAUCUUAAAAAAUAUAAAUUAAUAAAUUAUACUCGUGAAAUUAUUGUACAAAUUAGUAUUGUUCUGGAAAUCUCCAUGAGUGCUCAGUGAGAAUUUCACUCUUCUAGAAAGACACAUCAGGCCCUUCCGGUCAUUGCCAGCACCCAGUCACCUAGGGCGCAGAGUCGGCGGACACCCCCACGGUCCAUAGAGGACUCUCCAUGAGAUCUUAGGAUCACUGGUGAAUGGAACACAACUUCUGUUCCAAUCCAAUCGUGCGAGACCUAAGACAGCAGAAGGGAAGCAGAAAAGCAGCCUGACCAGGGGCACAAGUCCCUUCAAUCUGUACCAGCAACCGGUCACCUAGGGGUCACCUAGGACACAGUCAGUGGACACCCCCACGGUCACUAGAGGACUCUGCACGCAAUCUUCCAUUCACUGGUGAGUGGAACACAACAUCUGUUCCUAUCCAAUAGCAAGGGACCUCAGACAGCAAAAGGGAAGCAGAAAAUCCUGACUGACCAAGGGCACUAGUCACUUCCGGUCAGCACCAGUACUAGGUCAUCUAGGGCACAGAAUUAGAGGACACCCCCACAGUCCCCAGAGGACUCUCCACAGGAUCUUAGGAUCAAUGACCAGACAGCUUUUUGGCCCUCAAAAGAGACACCACUUCCAGGCACUAUAAAGCAAAACGCCUAGGAUCUUAGGACAACAGGAUCCCAGGGUAACAGGAGCUGGGUCACACCAAUAUUUCAGGGUCUAAGAGGAAGCUUGAAUGCCAAAAAUUCUGACACACCCAGAAUCUCAGGUUCAUAGGAGCCCACAAUCAAAGGAUCACAGAGAAAGCUGGACUCUGAGGAGACCUUAAUCAACUGGGAUUAUAGGAAGGAAAGGCUCCAAUCAGAUAUGUUGAGGGUAGCAAGCACUUAUGAUAAACAUAUGGCAGGAGACAAGCCUAAGAACAGAAGCAACAGAAACCAAGGUUACUUGGCAUCAUCAAAACCAAACUCUCCCACCAUAGCAAGUCCUGGAUACACCAUCACACGAGAAAAGCAAGACAUGGAUCAAAAGUCACUUCUCUUGAUAAUGAUGGAGGACUUUAAGAAGGAAAUACAGGAAAACACAGGUAAACAGCUAGAAGCCCUUAAAGAGGAAACACAAAAAUCCCUUAGAGAGUUACAGGAAAACACUACCAAACAGGUGAUAGAAUUGAACAAAAUCAUCCAAGACCUAAAAAUAGAAGUUGAAAAAAUAAAGAAAACCCAAAGGGAGACAACUCUGGAGAUAGAAACCCUAGGGAAGAAAUCAGGAACCAUAGAGAUGAAAGAGAGAAUCUCAGGUGCAGAAGAUUCCAUAGAGAACAUUGGCACAACAAUCAAAGAAAAUGCAAAGUGCAAAAAGAUCCUAGCUCAAAACAUCCAGGAAAUCCAGGACACAAUGAGAAGACCAAACCUAUGGAUAAUAGGAGUAGAUUAGAAUGAAGAUUUUCAACUUAAAGGGCCAGUAAAUAUCUUUAACAAAAUUAUAGAAGAAAACUUCUCAUACAUAAAGAAAGAGAUGCUCAUGAACAUACAAGAAGCCUACAGAAUUCCAAAUAGACUGGACCAGAAAAGAAAUUCCUCUCGACACAUAAUAAUCACAACAACAAAUUCACUAAAUAAAGAGAGAAUAUUGAAAGCAGUAAGGGAAAAAGGUCAAGUAAAAUAUAAAGGCAGGGCUAUUAGAAUUACUCCAGACUUCUCACCAGAGACUACGAAAACCAGAAGAUCCUGGACAGAUGUUACAGACACUAAGAGAACACAAAUGCCAGCCCAGGCUACUCUACCCAGCGAAACUCUCAAUUACCAUAGAUGGAGAAACCAAAUUAUUCCAUGAGGAAACCAAAUUCACACAAUAUCAUUCCAGGAAUCCAGCACUUCAAAAGAUAAUAACAGAAAACACCAACACAAGGACAGAAACUAUGCCCUAGAAAAAGCAAGAAAGUAAUCCUUCAACAAACCUAAAAGAAGACAGCCACAAGUACAGAAUCACAACUCUAACAACAAAAAUAACAGGAAGCAACAAUUACUUUUCCUUAAUAUCUCUAAAUAUCAAUGGACUAAAUUCCCCAAUAAAAAGACAUAGACUAACAGACUGGCUACACAAACAGGAAACCCACCAAGGAAAAAGACAGACACUAUCUCUGAUUGAUUGAUUGAAGAAUGAUUCUGGAAACAGAAACUAAGCAGAGACACAUUGAAACUAACAGAAAUUAUGAAACAAAUUGAUUUAACAGAUACAUCCAGAACAUUUUAUCAUAAAACAAAAGAAUAUACCUUCUUCUCAGCACCUCAUGGUACCUUCUCCAAAUUGACCAUAUAAUUGGUCAAAAAACAGGCCUCUAAAGAUACAAAAAUAUUGAAAUUAUCCCAUGCAUCCUAUCAGAUCACCAUAGACUAAGGCUAAUCUUCAAUAACAACAUAAAUAAUAGAAAGCCAUCAUCCAUGUGGAAGCUGAACAACACUGCCCUCAAUGAUAACUUGAUCAAGGAAGAAAUAAAGAAAGAAAUUAAAGACUUUUUAGAAAAUGAAGCCACAACAUACCCACACUUAUGGGACACAAGGAAAGCAUUCCUAGGAGGAAAACUCAUAACUCUGAGUGCCUCCAAAAAGAAACUAGAGAGAGCAUACACUAGCAGCUUGACAUCACACCUAAAAGUUCUAGAACAAAAGGAAGCAAAUUCACCCAAGAGGAGUAAAUGGCAAGAAAUAAUCAAACUCAAGGCUGAAGUCAACCAAGUGGAAACAAGAAGAACUAUUCAAAGAAUCAACCAAACCUGGAGCUGGUUUUUGUGAGACUAUGCUGGGGCCUAGCAAAUACAGAAGUGGAUGCUCACAGUCAGCUAUUGGAUGGAACACAGGGCCCCCAAUGGAGGAACUAGAAAAAGUACCCAAGGAGCUGAAGGAGUCUUCAACCCUAUAGGUGGAACAACAAUAUGAACUAACCAGUACCCCCGGAGCUCGUGUCUCUAGCUGCAUAUGUAUCAGAAGAUGGCUUAGUAGGCUUUCACUGGGAAGAGAGGCCCCUUGUUCUUGCAAACUUUAUAUGCCCAAGUACAGAGGAAACACCAGGGCCAAGAAGUGAGAGUUGGUGGGUAGAGGAGCAGCGGGUGCGGGGCCGCGAGUAAGGUAUAGGGGACUUCUGGGAUAGCAUUUGAAAUAUAAAUGAAGUAAAUACCUAAUAAAAAAUUGGAAAAAAUAUGAAAAAUAGAAAAACACAGCAAAAUGAUCACAUAUAUGCUCUAUUUUUUACCUUUGAAGCCAUUGAACAAAGAGAUGUAAAACCUGGCUGGCAUGGGAGAUUAGAACCAAAUUCAGGUCCUAUGGUAGAACAACAAAUUCUCUUAAUCAACCACUGAAAACCCUUUCUAGGCCAUGGAUUCUGUCUUAAAAUGAACACCAUGUUCCCACAUAUAAUACAGGACUCUAAGAUAUUUCUAUCACUUGCCAAUAAACUUAUUUUUUUUCAGGUUACUAACCCUUUAUAUUCAGUAACUAUAGUGCAAAUAUGAUAGCACUUUACCUAAUGAACUAUAAUCUAGCUGUAAGAACUUUGAGUUUAAAAAAAAUGGACAACCCUUCCAUGUCCUGGCCUCUACCCAUAGUGCCAGAACUAUGGGUAAAAGCAGGGGCUCAUGAGUGCAGGUUGAAUCUUCACUAGUUCACCAAGUCAGACUGUGUCCAACAUCAUCCCAUGCUUACCCUUUCUCUUUGUCAGUAUUAACUCAAUGCUUAUUAUACCAUAUGUCAGACAUUGUCAGAUGUUAAACUACGAUGGUGCACACAUGGAAAACUCCAUUUUAAUAUACUUGCAGCCUGGCAUUUACAUGUUCUCUAUAUUACUCUACAUUUAGCAGAGAUUAUAUCAUAUUUCUUAACAUCUAUGUACCUAUCAAAUAUUCACCACCAACCCCAAUGUAUGCACUCAGCAUAUGUUUGUUAAGUCAUUGUCAAUCAGUAAUGCAAGCCCGGAAGUUCUCCAUCUAGGAGAAUAAGAAGUAGUAAGCAUUGCAUACGAUUAUUUCUCAAAAUUUUUCCAUGUAAAUAUUGUCUGUAAUUUAAGUCAUAUUGAAUCACCAUUUUAAAUUUUGCAUUUGAAAAAUACAGUCAAUUUAAGAUGUUAUAUCCAUACAUUCUAAUGUAAUUGUUUUGUUUUUAAACCUAGAAAAAAUAGCCCAUGAGAUGCCACAAUGGUGAUGCAAACUUGAAAUGCAUUGGUUUUCGGGCUAUAGCAGGAGCAUUACCAUAGGUUCCAGGACAACCUGAGUGACAUAGAAAAAUAUUUUUUUCAAAAAAAGGAAAAAAUUUUAAAAAAAUAAAUAAACGUUUUCCUGUGAAUGUAUUUGCCCUAUUUAUAGCUUCUGGAAGCCAACGGUUUUAUAAUGAAGUAUGUCUCCUUUGUCUCUCCUUUUUCUCUGACUCAGAAUAAAAUAGUGUAGGAAAACAAAAAAAGAUCUUUUUCUUUCUCUGCUGCAUGAUGUGUUGUUUAAUACACCUAUAAAAAGACAGAUUAAAAGAAGAGUAUAUAAAGUCAAUGAAUGUGGGACCUGUUAUAAGACCCUUCCAAAGGGGGGUAGUAUUUUUAUGAACAGUUACAUAGAAGUCUGAAGUAAAGCCAAUUGUGAUCAACCUGUAAAUUGCAAGGGUGAGAGAUGAGUUAGCAAGAUGUGGUGUUCAGAUACUUCUUAGUUUGUCUGUAUGACAUUCCUUACCUCAGAGUAGAGGGCAGAACACAUGCUAUAUGUCAGAAGACUUAAGAAGAUAAAGAGAAUGAUGUUUGUAACUUCUUUUUAUGGUGUGUUCGUGAGAUGAAGAGUUAGGUAAUUAUAGUUUCUGUGACCUGCUUCAGAAGGUUCUGCCUUUUGAGUUUACCUCUUCCAUCUCCAUCAGCUUAUAACACUCAUUCCUUCCUCCUACUAUGGCCUAAAUAUCUCUUUCCCAUCUGUUUUCUGUUAACCAAUAAUCUAUAUAAAGGGGUGGUUCCUUUUGGAAGUGAUUAGAUAUAAGAAUAAAAACAAUUCUUUGAUGGAGAAAAUUUGUUCUUCAAUGAAUCACUAGAGGAGAGAGAGAGAGAGAGAGAGAGAGAGAGAGAGAGAGACCACUUUGCUCUUUUGGGCCUCUAGCAUAGGAGGACACAUCAGUAAGGCACAAGCUACUACCACCUGACAUAAAUCUGGUGAUGCCUUCAUCCUGAAUUCUUAGCCUACAGAGCUAUGAGAACUUUCUCUUACUUAUAAGUUAUUCAAAGUUAUUCAUGUAUAAACUAAGGUUAACCUAAACAACCCAAUGUGCCAUGUUUGGAGUUAGAAUUUUUUGCAUCCCACAAAUGGGAAGAACAAAACCAAUAAAAUUAAGUUUAUAGGAUUAUAAACCAGAGAGUCAGGUAUGGUAGUAUCUGUGUCUGUAAUCCUAGCACUUGGGAGGUUGAGGAAGGAAGGUCAGAAAUCAUGGCCAGCCUAGGGUACAUGAAAUACUGUCUCAAAAAAAAAAAAAAAGCAAAAAAAAAAA
Mus musculus (house mouse) is the source of this 6105-nucleotide long non-coding RNA. RefSeq annotates it as predicted gene, 57828. NCBI's taxonomy places the organism in Eukaryota, Metazoa, Chordata, Mammalia, Rodentia, Muridae. The transcript is spliced from 2 exons. The record is from RefSeq and is a predicted model, not a curated record.